This is a non-coding RNA of Myotis brandtii (Brandt's bat), 65 nucleotides long. The record is from Rfam. Lineage: Eukaryota; Metazoa; Chordata; Mammalia; Chiroptera; Vespertilionidae.
GGCCUCCCUCUGUGGGGCAAUCGAUCGCCGGGGCUUCGCCAUCGAUAGCCCAGCAGAGGGAGGCC